This 474-nucleotide ribosomal RNA is filed under the name uncultured organism. RNAcentral's name for it is "partial 16S ribosomal RNA". It matches the Rfam family "Bacterial small subunit ribosomal RNA", at positions 333 to 798 of the family's 1533-position model. The record is from RNAcentral.
ACACUCCUGCGGGAGGCAGCAGUGGGGAAUAUUGCACAAUGGGCGCAAGCCUGAUGCAGCCAUGCCGCGUGUAUGAAGAAGGCCUUCGGGUUGUAAAGUACUUUCAGCGGGGAGGAAGGCGAUAAGGUUAAUAACCUUGUCGAUUGACGUUACCCGCAGAAGAAGCACCGGCUAACUCCGUGCCAGCAGCCGCGGUAAUACGGAGGGUGCAAGCGUUAAUCGGAAUUACUGGGCGUAAAGCGCACGCAGGCGGUCUGUCAAGUCGGAUGUGAAAUCCCCAGGCUCAACCUGGGAACUGCAUUCGAAACUGGCAGGCUAGAGUCUUGUAGAGGGGGGUAGAAUUCCAGGUGUAGCGGUGAAAUGCGUAGAGAUCUGGAGGAAUACCGGUGGCGAAGGCGGCCCCCUGGACAAAGACUGACGCUCAGGUGCGAAAGCGUGGGGAGCAAACAGGAUUAGAUACCCCUGUAGUCCCAU